GAAGUAAAAGUCGUAACAAGGUUUCCGUAGGUGAACCUGCGGAAGGAUCAUUAAAAAAUGGACUCUUUGAAGGUCAUUAAUAAUCCUACCCUUUGUGAAUUUGUUGUUUGAAAUAAUUUUUUUCCAAAAAAUUAUUGAAUGUCUUUCCCUGUUUUGAUGGAGCUGUAUAGCAAAGUCAAUCAGGGGAAUGGCAAACAUAAUUAUUUUUGAAAAGACCUUUUUUUAAAUUAAACUUUUUGUAUUCAUUUGUCUAAAAUUAUUUUUAUAAUAUAAAAACAACUUUUGACAAUGGAUCUCUUGGUUCUCGCAACGAUGAAGAACGCAGCAAAAUGCGAUAAGUAGUGUGAAUUGCAGAAUACGUGAAUCAUCGAAUCUUCGAACGCAUAUUGCACUUUUUUGGUUUACCAAAAAAGUAUGUCUGUUUGAGUAUCAGUAAAAUAUUCUCAUAAAAACUAUUUGCUUUUAUGGUUAUGAGUGUUUUAUAACGAUAAACAAGUUGUUUCACUUUAAAUUCUUUGUCCUUUAAAAAAUCAUUAAAAACUGAUUUUUUUUUAAAAUUGGAUAAAAUUUUCCGUAAAAAGGAAUAACCUAAACAAUUUUAAUUAAAAUUGGUUUGAUUUCUUUUAAGACUUUAAAGGAAAAAAAAGUAAAAAUUAACUUGAUCUCAAAUCAGAUAAGAGUACCCGCUGAACUUAAGCAUAUCAAUAAGCGGAGGAAAGGAAACUAACUAGGAUUCCCUCAGUAACGGCGAGUGAAGCGGGAAGAGCUCAAAUUUGAAAUCUUCAAGGUUCUACCUUGACGAAUUGUAGUUUAAAGAAGUGUUUUCUGUUGGAGUUUUGGUAAAAGUUCUUUGGAAUAGGACAUCAUAGAGGGUGAGAAUCCCGUAUUUGACCAUUAUUUCCAACUUUGUGAUACACUUUCAAAGAGUCGGAUUGUUUGGGAAUGCAGUCCAAAAUGGGUGGUAAAUUUCAUCUAAAGCUAAAUACUGGCGAGAGACCGAUAGCGAACAAGUACCGUGAGGGAAAGAUGAAAAGAACUUUGAAAAGAGAGUUAAACAGUACGUGAAAUUGUCAAAAGGGAAGCGUUUGACACCAGUGUUGUUUUCUCGAAAAUCAAUUAAAAAUGGUGGAUUUUGUGUUGUAUUGACUUUAUCAGCUUUCUGCACUUUUUUCCUAUCUUUUUUAAUGCACUUUUCGUUUAACAAGUCAACAUCAAUUUCUUUUGUUGUAAAAGGGUCAUUGGAAGGUGGCUUUCUUUUCGGAGAAAGUGUUUAUAGCCUUUGGCCUCUGCAAUCGGAGAGAUUGAGGUCUGCAGCGUAGAUCCUUCGGGGUUAGAUACAUUUGUGCUAAGCUAUAGCCUUUCAUAGACAACUUGUUGACUAUGAUCAGUCAUGUAGCUUACACGCUUAUGCUAUUUUACCUACGCUUAGAUGUUGAG
Molecule: unclassified non-coding RNA, 1437 nt
Filed under: uncultured Neocallimastigales
Lineage: Eukaryota; Fungi; Neocallimastigomycota; Neocallimastigomycetes; Neocallimastigales
Description: partial contains small subunit ribosomal RNA, internal transcribed spacer 1, 5.8S ribosomal RNA, internal transcribed spacer 2, and large subunit ribosomal RNA
Rfam family: Eukaryotic large subunit ribosomal RNA (bases 660-1437)
Source: RNAcentral